GUUGCACUUUUAUUGCUUUAUACGAAACAGGGAUAAAUUAUGAAAAGAUAUCGCUUUUAAAACCUUCAAACCAUCUAUUCAACCGCAAAGAUGCCUUUCCCGGACGAUGUCAUAACCACAUAACCAUGAAAUCCCCCGUUCAACUAGUUAUGGAACGUAUAAGUUCAGUGGACUACGUAUUUAUUGACAGUACGUAAUUUUAAGGCAAGUUUUCACUGUGCACGUUGUUCAAAAGAGCAAAGUUGUUUCCAAUGUUAACCCACUGAUGGUGAUAAUGCACACUGGACUAUAUAGAAGGAAUAAAGGAGCAUGCUGGAUACACAUAAACCUUAAGGGUAACACCACAGAGAUUUUUACCGAUCUUUAUGUAUAGAAUGAAAACUUCCCCCCUAAAUCUU
This is a long non-coding RNA of Hermetia illucens (black soldier fly), 398 nucleotides long. RefSeq lists it as uncharacterized. Lineage: Eukaryota; Metazoa; Arthropoda; Insecta; Diptera; Stratiomyidae. The transcript has 3 exons. The record is from RefSeq and is a predicted model, not a curated record.